RNAcentral lists this long non-coding RNA (285 nucleotides) under Trifolium pratense (red clover). RNAcentral's name for it is "long non-coding RNA (TPRA_LNC012980)". The record is from RNAcentral. Lineage: Eukaryota; Viridiplantae; Streptophyta; Magnoliopsida; Fabales; Fabaceae.
GAAUUAGCGACGCUAUGUGAAAAAUUCAGUCUCUAUUUCAGUCACUAAUGAUAUAUAUAUUUUUUUUAAUUAUUAGAAAAGCAAUUUUUGAAUCUAAUUUAAUAUCUCAAACUAUUUCAUACACACUAAGCAAUUAAACUAUGCACACAACAAUAUGAACAUAAUAUAUUUAUAUUUAAGUAAUAAGUAUUACAAAUCAACCAAAACAUAACCAAGACUAAAGUAAGCCACACUACUACACCAUCAUCAGACAUAUCAUCAUCAUCAUCAAUUUAUCAUCUGCCA